Molecule: non-coding RNA, 405 nt
Organism: Nylanderia fulva
Lineage: Eukaryota; Metazoa; Arthropoda; Insecta; Hymenoptera; Formicidae
Source: RefSeq, a predicted model, not a curated record
ACCACAUAAAAAAUAGUCAUAAACUUAAUAAAGAAAUAGCAAAUAAACUCCAAACCUGGGUGAUUGAUCAAUUCAUUAUUCCGAAAUGCGAAAUUUGCAAACAAUUUAGUAAAUACCAUGCCUUUAUAUUUAUGAUACAUUUAAAGGAAGUUCAUGAUGUCAUUGUACCUCAAGAAUUCAUACCACAGAGAUUAUCAAUUAGAUUAAAAAAUCUUUUUGAUCCUUGUAAAAAUGUUGAAAACAUUCCAACAUCAACCAGCAAUAAUCAUCAGCAGCCAUCUAUAAUUAGAACUUACUUUAAGGAUUAUGAUCCGACUUUUCAUUCUUCCGAUACAUUUGAAACCUCAAGGUCUCGUGACUCGUGGUCAUGGCAUUACUUUACAAUAUAUAACGGCGAAUUUAUCA